RNAcentral lists this long non-coding RNA (636 nucleotides) under Nicotiana benthamiana. Its description in RNAcentral is "long non-coding RNA (NBEN_LNC042308)". The record is from RNAcentral. Lineage: Eukaryota; Viridiplantae; Streptophyta; Magnoliopsida; Solanales; Solanaceae.
GUUGGUGGUGGGGGUGGGUGGGGUGUUGUUGUUGUUGUUGCAUGUGGUGAGGAUUUUGUUGAGGGAUUUGAUGGUGUAGUGACAUUUCUAGUCCUAACAUACCAUGACCCAUAUUUGAAUAUAUACUACCAGAAUCCAUCAAAAUAAUUAAAAAUAUUCAAAAUCUUGAAAACCCCACUAAGCAAAAUCUUAUGAUAAACAACUAUCACUUCACAAUUCAAGUGUACAUACUGAUCCUAUGUGCCAAACAAGAAAAAUAGAUGGGACCAAAACCAGAAGGAAAAAUAAAAUACCUCAAAACCCAAGAAUUAAAAGGCCAAAAUGAGAGAAGGUUAAGUAAACAUCACGAUGUACCAAGACUUCUUUUUGCACUGAACAAAAGUUCAAAACUUUGAAACAAAUGCUGGCUAAAAGUGCAAGAAAGAGAGCAAGAAUUGGUUUUUUGGAGGUUGAAAUAUACUGUGAAUGGAUUUGUUUGAAGGGUUUAUACAAAGAAUGAGCAGCUGGUUUUGUGUUUGGCUAAAUAAAACUGCCCAUGGUUUUCUUGAAGUUGUCAGCUAAAAUUUUAUAGGUGGGAUAUAGGGUUAAGUUUUAAAGAGAAGGAAUCCACAGGAUUUUGCAAAACUGUCCACUUUU